CAGUAGCCGCGGUAAUACAGAGGGUGCAAACGUUGUCCGGAAUUACUGGGCGUAAAGCGAGUGUAGGCGGUCUCAAAAGUCAGGUGUAAAAGCCCUGGGCUCAACCCAGGAAGUGCACUUGAAACUGCGAGGCUAGAGUACUGGAGAGGUUGGUGGAAUUCUCGGUGUAGAGGUGAAAUUCGUAGAUAUCGAGAGGAACACCGGUGGCGAAGGCGGCGACCUGGUCCUUGACUGACGCUGAGGCGCGAAAGCGUGGGGAGCAAACAGGAUUAGAUACCCCCGUAGUCCCUGUCUCUUAUAC
Molecule: ribosomal RNA, 301 nt
Filed under: uncultured bacterium
Lineage: Bacteria
Description: partial 16S ribosomal RNA
Rfam family: Bacterial small subunit ribosomal RNA
Source: RNAcentral